Molecule: non-coding RNA, 604 nt
Organism: Xenopus tropicalis (tropical clawed frog)
Lineage: Eukaryota; Metazoa; Chordata; Amphibia; Anura; Pipidae
Source: the annotation of a RefSeq genome assembly
GCUGCCCUACCCUGCACCAUGUCCUGGGCAAUCCCCCUCCUCACUCUGAUCUCUCUGUGCACUUGUUGUGCCGGACAGUAUGUGCUGACCCAGCCUGCAUCUGUGAGUGUCAGUGUGGGGGGCACAGUGACACUGACUUGCGAAGGGGACAAUAUUGCCAGCAAGUAUGUGCACUGGUAUCAACAAAUGCUCCCCAGUGCCCCCCGGCUCAUUAUAUACAGAGACAGCAAUAGACCCACUGGGAUCCCAGAACGAUUUUCUGGCACAAACUCUGGUAACACUGCAAGUUUACAGAUCUCUGGAGCCCAAGCAGGGGAUGAGGCUGAUUAUUACUGUCAGGUGUGGGAUAGCGAUAGCAAAGCUGCACAGUGAUACAGACACAGGGGGAAGUGAGACCAAAUCCUUCCUCUGAGUGUAAUGUAUAUAGAAAGAUCACAUACAGAGACAAGAAUGUAGACAUUAAAGGAAAAAUAAAGCUUAAGAAGUGGGGUAGAAAUAUUUUACAUUUAGUUUUGUGGUUCUGUACCAGCCCAAGGGCCACUACAUGCCUUUAGCAGUUUUAACCCCUUUAACACACAGUUUUUAACCCCUUAUUAUCUUAGAG